This 293-nucleotide ribosomal RNA is filed under the name uncultured bacterium. Its description in RNAcentral is "partial 16S ribosomal RNA". It matches the Rfam family "Archaeal small subunit ribosomal RNA", at positions 455 to 747 of the family's 1478-position model. The record is from RNAcentral.
GUGCCAGCCGCCGCGGUAAUACCGGCAGCCCAAGUGAUGAUCGAUCUUAUUGGGCCUAAAGCGUCCGUAGCUGGCUGCGCAAGUCCGUCGGGAAAUCCACUCGCCCAACGAGUGGGCGUCCGACGGAAACUGCACAGCUUGGGACCGGAAGGCUCGAAGGGUACGUGCGGGGUAGGAGUGAAAUCCCAUAAUCCCGCACGGACCACCGAUGGCGAAAGCACUUCGAGAAAACGGAUCCGACAGCGAGGGACGAAAGCUAAGAUCGCGAACCGGAUUAGAAACCCGUGUAGUCC